CGGCGGCCACGGCGGCCGGGGCACACCCGGACCCAUACCGAACCCGGAAGUUAAGCCGGCCAGCGCCGAUGGUACUGCAGGGGCGACCCUGUGGGAGACUAGGGCGCCGCCGG
This 113-nucleotide ribosomal RNA is filed under the name human gut metagenome. The record is from RNAcentral.